CAGCCGCCGCGGUAAUACGAAGGGUGCAAGCAUUAAUCGGAAUUACUGGGCGUAAAGCGUGCGUAGGCGGUUUGUUAAGUCUGUUGUGAAAUCCCCGGGCUCAACCUGGGAAUGGCAAUGGAUACUGGCAAGCUAGAGUGUGUCAGAGGAUGGUGGAAUUCCCGGUGUAGCGGUGAAAUGCGUAGAGAUCGGGAGGAACAUCAGUGGCGAAGGCGACUAUCUGGGCCAACACUGACACUGAGACACGAAAGCGUGGGGAGCAAACAGGAUUAGAUACCCCUGUAGUCCCUGUCUCUUAUAC
This 301-nucleotide ribosomal RNA is filed under the name uncultured bacterium. RNAcentral describes it as "partial 16S ribosomal RNA". It matches the Rfam family "Bacterial small subunit ribosomal RNA", at positions 509 to 807 of the family's 1533-position model. The record is from RNAcentral.